CCUACUGACCUGAAGUCCCUGUAAUGAAUUGUAAAUAUUAAUAGGACUACCAGUAUCUAAUACUAGGUCAUUCUAUCAAAAAUUGAGAAGUUAUAAGGUAUUAUUAUAUGAUUACCUUGUCCAGCAACCAAUUGCUUCUUCUUCUUCGAUCUGUUCGGAUCAAAGAAAGCUAUAUAUUGAGAAUAGUUUCUCUUCUAAUGACCCUGUCUCUUACAAUAGAAUUACUCUGCCUGACUUU
RNAcentral lists this long non-coding RNA (238 nucleotides) under Elaeis guineensis (African oil palm). RNAcentral describes it as "long non-coding RNA (EGUI_LNC063740)". Lineage: Eukaryota; Viridiplantae; Streptophyta; Magnoliopsida; Arecales; Arecaceae. The record is from RNAcentral.